Molecule: unclassified non-coding RNA, 271 nt
Filed under: Hevea brasiliensis (rubber tree)
Lineage: Eukaryota; Viridiplantae; Streptophyta; Magnoliopsida; Malpighiales; Euphorbiaceae
Source: RNAcentral
AAAAAAAAAAAAAAAAAAUAAACAAUCUACCUUCAAUCCUAAAUAAACUGAGAUCCAACUAUCUUGAUACUGGCACAAAUAUGGAUUCUACUUAUCAAAACUAUCAGAUUCAGAUGAUUCACAUGCACAGCUACAUAUCUCCAAUUUGUUGUCCUGUAUUUGCAGCUGAAAAUGCCAUGAAUUCAACCUCUGCAUGGAUGCAAUGGCAUACAUCUCUCUCUAGGGUCAAAGGAUGUUGUUGGUCUUAAUCCCUCCCUCUUUGUUUAGCAAU